GACGAACCACACAAACGUUAUUCGGAAUUACUGGGCUUAAAGGGUGCGUAGGCGGCGCGGAAAGUUGGGUGUGAAAUCCCUCGGCUCAACCGAGGAACUGCGGUCAAUACUACCGUGCUCGAGUGAGACAGAGGUGAGCGGAACUUAGGGUGGAGCGGUGAAAUGCGUUGAUAUCCUAAGGAACACCCGUGGCGAAAGCGGCUCACUGGGUCUCUUCUGACGCUGAGGCACGAAAGCUAGGGUAGCGAACGGG
RNAcentral lists this ribosomal RNA (253 nucleotides) under uncultured bacterium. RNAcentral's name for it is "partial 16S ribosomal RNA". It matches the Rfam family "Bacterial small subunit ribosomal RNA", at positions 524 to 776 of the family's 1533-position model. The record is from RNAcentral.